Tarenaya hassleriana is the source of this 720-nucleotide long non-coding RNA. RefSeq lists it as uncharacterized. The transcript has 5 exons. The record is from RefSeq and is a predicted model, not a curated record. NCBI's taxonomy places the organism in Eukaryota, Viridiplantae, Streptophyta, Magnoliopsida, Brassicales, Cleomaceae.
AUCCUUGGCCAUUUAUUGAUAAUGUGGACUUGGGGGACACGCUUCUAGUCUAGGAAAUAACAAAAUGAUCCCCUCAGUUUUAUUCAUUGGAUUCCCCUUUUCCUUAUGUAUGAUUCUCAGAUUUAUAUGCAACAGCAAAACAGUUAAUCAGAUACACGGGAGAGAGUAUGGAUGCUACAUUUUCCUGAAGCAUUUGGUGGCAGCUUUCCUAUCUGUGGCGGUUGGAGUUUCACACAGGCACAACUUGCAAAUGUUGGGGAACAUCCGGUUUGGUGAUAAAGGAAAAUAUGGUACCAGUGAUCUAUCGAAUUCACCUUUAGUCACAACAGCAUGUACUCGUCGCACCAUUACGCGAUGAAUGGAAAUCAGCUCAACCAGCAUGGUUGGUGGCCUUAGAGAUGGGAAUGUUAAACGUCACCCCACACUUGGCAGGGAGAGUAGUUGCUGCAUCUUCUCUAAGCACAACAUGCAGCAGAGGGAAAACCUCCGUUUUGGAGGUAAACGAUGCAGGAAACUAAUGAUCGGUCGACCUCACCACAGUUGAUGGCAGCUUCUGUUCGCUGCACCAUGAAGCUUUGGACCAUGAAAGCAAGAACAACCAAACUCGGCGUCAACCUUACUGGAUGCUGAAAUGAAGAGGAAAAAGAGAGCAACUUAUGCAAGAUAAUAAGCAAUUACCUGAAAAAGCGAAGAGAUUAUGGGAAGGGGAAUUAAGUGUAC